Molecule: ribosomal RNA, 740 nt
Filed under: Glutamicibacter arilaitensis
Lineage: Bacteria; Bacillati; Actinomycetota; Actinomycetes; Micrococcales; Micrococcaceae
Description: bacterial SSU rRNA
Rfam family: Bacterial small subunit ribosomal RNA
Source: RNAcentral
CAGCUUGCUGGGUGGAUUAGUGGCGAACGGGUGAGUAACACGUGAGUAACCUGCCCCCGACUCUGGGAUAAGCCCGGGAAACUGGGUCUAAUACCGGAUAUUACCUCUUGCCGCAUGGCAGGUGGUGGAAAGAUUUAUCGGUGGGGGAUGGACUCGCGGCCUAUCAGCUUGUUGGUGAGGUAAUGGCUCACCAAGGCGACGACGGGUAGCCGGCCUGAGAGGGUGACCGGCCACACUGGGACUGAGACACGGCCCAGACUCCUACGGGAGGCAGCAGUGGGGAAUAUUGCACAAUGGGCGAAAGCCUGAUGCAGCGACGCCGCGUGAGGGAUGACGGCCUUCGGGUUGUAAACCUCUUUCAGUAGGGAAGAAGCGAAAGUGACGGUACCUGCAGAAGAAGCGCCGGCUAACUACGUGCCAGCAGCCGCGGUAAUACGUAGGGCGCAAGCGUUAUCCGGAUUUAUUGGGCGUAAAGAGCUCGUAGGCGGUUUGUCGCGUCUGCCGUGAAAGUCCGAGGCUCAACCUCGGAUCUGCGGUGGGUACGGGCAGACUAGAGUGAUGUAGGGGAGACUGGAAUUCCUGGUGUAGCGGUGAAAUGCGCAGAUAUCAGGAGGAACACCGAUGGCGAAGGCAGGUCUCUGGGCAUUUACUGACGCUGAGGAGCGAAAGCAUGGGGAGCGAACAGGAUUAGAUACCCUGGUAGUCCAUGCCGUAAACGUUGGGCACUAGGUGUGGGGGGA